This 84-nucleotide small RNA is filed under the name Chryseobacterium geocarposphaerae. Its description in RNAcentral is "Flavo-1 RNA". The record is from RNAcentral. Lineage: Bacteria; Pseudomonadati; Bacteroidota; Flavobacteriia; Flavobacteriales; Weeksellaceae.
UCGCAGCCCGGCUUGAGCGGAAAUCCUUUUUUGCAUUGGAAAAAGCCUCGGCAAAAAAGAUUGGGAGUGGAAUACGGAUUAAGC